Cavia porcellus (domestic guinea pig) is the source of this 5153-nucleotide long non-coding RNA. RefSeq lists it as uncharacterized. The record is from RefSeq and is a predicted model, not a curated record. The transcript is spliced from 2 exons. Lineage: Eukaryota; Metazoa; Chordata; Mammalia; Rodentia; Caviidae.
UAGGGGCGCUGUGCAGGCACAGACAUCCCCAGCCAGGACAUAUUCUUUGCUGUGGAGCACGAGGCAAGACAUGGGCACCAUCUUUAGUUUUGCUGUUUGGUUUGGCUUGGUUUUAGUUUUGUGGGUUGAACCCAGGCGCAUCACACGGAGCUGCCUCCCUACCUUGUGAUUAUGUUUGAGGCAGGGUCUCCCUGAGUCACUGAAUUGCCCAGGCUGGACUCUCCCUGGGAUUCUCAUGCCUCAGCCUCCAGGACGCCAGGGUUACAGGCCCGUUCCACCACGGCUGAGACCAGGAACGGCUGCAGGGGCCUUGGGAGAGCUAUUCUGCCUCACGUCCUGUGCCACAGCCCUGGGAGUGGUGGCCAGGAGGGCGGUGGCCGCUGGGCAACAACAGGGCUCCCCACUCCCCUCAGCCACCCGCACUCAGAGACUGGAAAGCCAGCCCUGCCCCUGCGCUCAGGGAGGCGGCCCCGCUGGCCUCAGUCUUGCUUUCUGGCCAGGCAGGGAAACCCCGCUUCCCUCAGUGCCCAGUGAUGACACAGUCCUCUACAGCAUGCAGGGGGUGGCCCAAAGAGUACCAAGCUGCCUUCUGGGUCAGGUGACACAGGGUGGCCCAGGGCAAUGGUGGCAGCUUGACCGAGCUCACCCAGAGGCCAUGCAAGGGACCCGGACGUGUCACCAGGCCUCUGCCCAGGGACUACUUAAUUGAGAUUUCUUUGCACUCAGAAAGGCUGGGAAUGGGGGUACCCUCCUGCCUCAGCCUCCUGAAUGCUGCCCCUUCCUUUUUCUUCCUUUUGGAAAAGCCCAGGAUUCCUGGUUACGAGGUCCAGGCAGCCCUGCAGGCCGCGUCAGGCCGCCCACGUGGAGGUGACCAUUCUGUCUUCUCUCUGGAGAAAGUUUGCUGUCUUUACACUGCCCGCGUGUGACUAAAACACCACAUUUGCAAGACUGUGAGCGCUGCACACUUUGACCAUUCUGCCCUCACCGUCCAACCCACUCCCCGAUCCCGAGCGCUGGCCUGAAGGGUGAGAGUCACCGCUUCCUUCCAGGAAUCCUUCCUCCCUUGGCUCUGUACCUGAAGACUUCCCACCCUGCUCUGUACAAGGCAGGGCCACUGCAGAGGUGCCAGUCAGGUUUUCUGGGAGGUGUCCUAUUAGGUAGUAGGGGAGGGAGGUCUUUUCUGCCGCUCACUUGUUUUCAAAGUGUGGACAUGAGGGCUGGUGCUCAUGCAGCCAUCCUGGACCUCGAGGUAAGAGCCAUUUGCAGAGUAUGACGAAGCAGCAAGACAGGAAGGGCUGGUCUCUGACGGCUUUGGCGCCUGGCACCCGCCCUGCUACAUAAGAGACCCAGAUCAUGUUGGCAGUGCCACCGUUGUUCUGGGAUCUGGGUCGCUCCCAGCGGAUCUGAUCCUGGUUGACCUGAGGAUGCCAGCCACGUCAGCCUGUUAAAGCAACCCGCAGUCUGAGCUUGUUUUCUGUUUUCUUUCUCACACCGAGCAGAGAAUGAAUCAAGGGCUUGUGAGUUCCAUUCACACCCAAACCCCAGCCGUGCCGGGGCUCCCUCCCACUUGAUCUCUCUGCCCACACCCAAGCUGUUACACCCCGACCCGUGGCCUCUCUAGUGCCGUGGUGCCCGCUGCUGUGUGCAGGCCAGUUAAGGAAUCCACCUCCCACUGCCAGGGACAAUUUCUGAACACAUCUCUGCCUCGUGGCGAGAACGUGGCUGCGUGGUUGCUACGUGAUUGCUGCCAGUUCCACUUCCUGGCCAGGGCUGGGCAAACGGAGCUGCCCACUGACUUUCCCGGCCGCCUCAUGCUCCUGUGUUUGUACUGCACUCACCCGCUGCAGCCCCUCCUGCCCGGCGCAGAUCGAUCGGCUGAUUAAGCCAUCAGAUUGCAGCAGCCAGCUGUAAUUUUAAACCCGUAUCUCCUCUACUCCCUCUGCUGCAACCCACAACCCCACCACCCUCGCCCCCCCUGCCCUCCCUCCCCAUGGAUCCAGCGGCAGGACACCGAAGCAGGAGCUGCCCAGCCAGCAGCUGGCUAGUCCGCUUUCCCAGGCUUGGCUUUCAGUGGAAUGUGUGAAGAGGUUUAUUUUGUAUUUUUGGAUUGCGAGACAGGGUCUUGCUACACAGUCCAGGCCGGCCUCAAACUCCCGGCGCCCCUCCUGCCUCAGCCUCCUGAGUGCUUGGAUUACAGGUGUGGGCCUCUUGCCGGGCCAGAUGUUCCCUUCUUUCUGGGAUCAGUGUCACACCACACCCAGUAUGGGUUCUAUGGCUGCGUGACAAUUGGUCCACAGCUCAGCAGCGAACCUCGAGUGUCCCAUCUAUGGGGUCAGGGGCCCCGGUGACCUCACUAGCCUCCAUGGCUUCCUCCUUGGCACCAUCCUGUGACACAUGGAUCUGUUCUGGGCUUCCAGGGCUCCUCGAAGCCCGGCCACACUGAGCACCACCCAGAAGACUCCCUUUAGGGCCUUUGCCCUUGUAAGGGUGGGCAGGAAGGGAAAUUAGCACCAGUCACGGGGACUCAGACCCUGUCCCCAGUGCACCGUGGAGCCAGGUGGUGGCCCUGGAGCCCCAGGCCACUGGGCAACAGCUCUAGGAUGAGGUUGAAGCCAGGUUGGGCCCAGUUCUGCAGAGGGCACCCCAAGCUCCUGCCCCGCUGGUCUCCUGGACAGGAAGCUGCACAGAGCACAGCAGCCAGUGGUGCCCAGCUGAGGCGGCAACUCCACCCUGGGUCCCCAUUGGUGGCACUGGCAGCAGUGCAUGCACUGGGCAGCUGCUCCUGGGAACCUGCCUGCCCGCUCCGAGGUCCCCAGAACCAGAACCGGCUAAGCUCUGCCCUUCACCUCCACCAAAGUGCUCUCCUGAGACAGCACCCGCCUGGCACCCGGCACCGCCUCCUGGCCUGCAGCCCACUGAGUGCUGGGGCAUCCAGGGCAACCUGGCCAGGACCUGUGCCCACACACAUGGGGAGUGCAAGGUGGCUGUUACCCAACUGAGCUCAGAAAGGAGCCGAUGCCACCUUCCGUGCCCCUCCUUGAAGGGUGUCACUCUCCACCCCCAGCUCCUGGGCUAUGUGGGGCUCAGCCAUCUGGGGUCAGGUGCCUGGGCUCUGGUGACAGAUGCCCAGUUUGCCUACUGUGUUUCCAGGUUCAUUUUCUCACAGUGUCCAGUUCCCCUCCUGGUCCUUCAGCUGAGGAGUAACAACAAAAAGCUGGGCACACCUGUGAUCCCAGCACUCGGGAGGCUGAAGCAGGAGGAUUGCCCAGAACACAGCUGCUCUCUCCUGGGGUGCCGGCUUCUUUCCAGCCACUCCAGACUACAGCCCCCCACACGCUCCCCUUGCCACACAAGCUAUCGGCUUCAGCCGGGCCACCUACGGGCAGAGCCAGCACGGCCCUGGCCAGCAGCCUGGGGAGAUGCUGGAUCGGCCAUGCAGGGUAGUGAGUUCCCCACCAGCAGAGGCAAACAAGUGUGGCUGGGAGGCAGCCUGACCCUCAGGCCUCUCUCCCUGUGUGGCUCUGCAGGUGUGCGGGGCAGAGCCUGUUGUCUUGGUUGUUGCCACUGCAGUCCAUGUUGCCCACCCCCCCAGCACUACUCACUGUCUCCGGGCUGAAGAGGCAGUGUCUGUCUGAGGGAAGCAAGGUGCCCUGGACCUGGGGGCUCCUGGGAGCUGGCUUUGGACACGGUGGGGAGUUUCAGUUCUCCAGGCUGUGGCCCGGGCACCACCAAGGCCUGUGUUGUUCAUCCCUAGCCUGCAUGCGAGGCUGCUGCUGACCCAUUCAGCAGACAAGGAGACUAAGGCUGCCAGACCUGCAGAGGUGGCCCAGCCAAGAGGGAGAGUGCAGCCCUCAGUGCAGCAAGAGGAUUGCAGGCUGGGGAUAGAUUGGGGGGGGGGGGUGGCAGGACUGGGGUCCCCCCAUCUGAAGUGUGGAGAGCACUGGGGUGGGCAGACGAAGCCCUGCCAGCCAAGCCAGAGGGUGCAGACAGGACCGGGGACCCAGCCUGUGACCCGUGUGACCCCAGGGACACUCAGCCUCCCCUCUCCCCGUCCUCCCACUGCCCGUCCUACUGUUACUGUUUGCCUUGCUUUCCAGGGACUGACCCGGGCUUUUGCCCUGAGCCACUUCCCAUCCUCCUGACGUUGUGUGAUGAGACAAGGACUCACUAAAUCACCAAAUUGCCCAGGCUGGGCUCACACUUGUGCUCCUCCUGCCUCAGCCUCCCAGGUGCCGGGAUCACAGGUGUGAGCCACCACACCCAGCCCAGCCCUGGGUUUUAACUGCUAACCCACUGGGUGCCCCAGAGGGCUCCCCAUGGCCCCUAGACUCCUCCCUCUGCAGCCCCCAGAAGCCUGGUCACCGCCCCCCUCCUAGAGUUCCUGAAUCGCCAAGGGCUAGAGACCAUGUCUAACUUUUCCAUGAGCUAGGAUCACAGAAGUGGGGUCACGAGACACGGGGACACGGGCUUUUUAAAGGCCUUCUGUUCGGAGCUGAUAGAAUCACAGGAACUUAGAGAACCAGCUCGGAGCGCUGUGGACCCUUCUCCCGACAAUACCAUUGUAUCUGUCUCCAGAUGGGGCACUGGAUGGGUACAGUACCAAUCCGUUCACUAUGGACUUAAGACACAGUGAUGCCUGCGUGAUGGCACAGACUUGUAAUCCAGUAUUCAGGAGACUGAAGCAGGAGGGUCACUGCUCUUGAUAAGUCGAUAAAUUGCCCGGCUGGACUGAAACUUACCACCCUCCUGCCUCAGCCUCCCCGACUGCUGGGGCACCGAGCAUGCGCCACUGCACAUGGUGAGACAGGGCUUGCACGUCUUCAAUAAACGGGUCCUAGGCGGCAGCUGUCUUAGCCGUGUGGCCAGUGUCGCCUUCCCUCCCGUUCCUGCCUUUGCACUUGGGCGGGAAUCUGCGCUGACCGCCCACCUCGCCCUGGUGCCCGCAGGGCCGCUGGCUCUCCAGAGCGCCCCGUUACCAGCCCACAGUGAUGGUGCUUUCUUGUUCCCUCCCAGCUCUUUCUUCUUCUGUGAUUUGUGUCCACCAGAAAUGCUGGAGUUGGGAGCCCUGGUCACAGUGACCCUUGAGUCACUACCAGGCUUCCAGCGGGAAGACUUUUCUUUAAUUUUCUAUUAAAUAUGCUGCUUGCUAUAAA